AUAGGUUCCAUGCUUGUUGACAAAAUGUUCUUGCAUAUAAACAGGAUCAUCAUCAUCCCUACCUUUCUCACGUAUAAUGACACUACAGUACUCCUCUUUGUCAGGUUCUUUUGCAAUUAUGCCUUAAUAACUUCUUUCUCUUCCCUGUCAUCUGUUUUGUGUUUUAUUUUUCUCGCUCUACAGUGUGUUUCUGAUGGUUUACACUGAAGCUUGAUGUUAUGAGAUCUCAGUUGCCACAGCAACAUCCGUGGAUGUAGUUACUGUCUCCAUUCUCCUCGGCCUUAAUUCCUUGUCUGUCAUUUGCAUAGAAAUAACAUUCGCCAGAAAGGAUCUUCCCCUAUUGGAGUAUGCGGUUGAUGUUUAGCCAGCUUGCCUUUCUAACGGCAUUCGACAACUCUGCUCUGAACUCACUGUUCUGGAUCGGGGCUAACUACCAUCACCCCGUCGACCUCCGUCGACCUCACUCUGGAGAGUGCACUGCCCCGAUCCAGAGCAUAGCCAGACCCAGAGUCCAGCCCACCAUCUCCCCGCUGUGUGGAGCCCAAGCCCGAGCCCACCGAUGAUGGAGAGCCUGAGCCCGCCACGACCGAUCUGCCAUUGCCAUGCGGAGUGACAGAGCUGAGGAUUGCCG
Molecule: long non-coding RNA, 631 nt
Organism: Cyprinus carpio carpio
Lineage: Eukaryota; Metazoa; Chordata; Actinopteri; Cypriniformes; Cyprinidae
Source: Ensembl